AUUGAACGCUGGCGGCAUGCCUUACACAUGCAAGUCGAACGGUAACAGGGAGCUUGCUCCGCUGACGAGUGGCGAACGGGUGAGUAAUGUAUCGGAACGUACCAUAGAGUGGGGGAUAACUAUCCGAAAGGAUAGCUAAUACCGCAUAUUCUCUCCGGAGGAAAGCAGGGGACCGCAAGGCCUUGCGCUCUUUGAGCGGCCGAUAUCAGAUUAGCUAGUUGGUGAGGUAAAGGCUCACCAAGGCGACGAUCUGUAGCGGGUCUGAGAGGAUGAUCCGCCACACUGGAACUGAGACACGGUCCAGACUCCUACGGGAGGCAGCAGUGGGGAAUUUUGGACAAUGGGGGCAACCCUGAUCCAGCCAUGCCGCGUGAGUGAAGAAGGCC
RNAcentral lists this ribosomal RNA (386 nucleotides) under uncultured bacterium. RNAcentral's name for it is "bacterial SSU rRNA". It matches the Rfam family "Bacterial small subunit ribosomal RNA", at positions 30 to 416 of the family's 1533-position model. The record is from RNAcentral.